GCUAUAAAAUUUAUACUGUCCUACACAAAACAAAUGAUUAAUUACAGAAGGUUCCAUAAAACAUUUAAUAAGAAUUAUAACUGGUCUUAAAUUGUUUCCCCUCCCCUCUAUUAAACAUGGUACAUUCCACAACUGUGUGGUAAACAAAGAUACUAGAAAUACUAAUAAUAUUUCUAGUAUCUUUGGUGGUAACAUUUGAAAGCUAACGGAACGGUCUUCAUCGACAUCUCUCUCGCUCGCUGCUCCAUUUGUUGUUGUGGUGUCCUCCUUUUGUUCAGUAAUAAUUGGAGUAAUAAUUGCAAACUGAUAUUUUAUUGAAAUGGUUAAUACCUGUAGCAAUGUCUAUGUACUAGUUAAAUGGAUUGAAUAAGGAUUUUGGACGUUCUUCUGCUAAAACUCAGCCUAGCCUAGGAUAGCCGCUAGGCCUAUUAUAUUGCCAUUGGAAAAAAAGGAGAAGAGUCCGCACCAUGCCAAGGUCUAUGGGAUGCACAGUCAGUACAGUAUUGUGAUUGACAUUGGCCAUGGUUUACUUAUAGAAAAGGAUCCAUGAUAGGGAAGAAAAGCAACGCACAUGUGGAACUUGGUAGAGAAAGAGUGUUUGAAUCCCAUCUGAAUUACUGCCAUAACAGAUUUCACUGAUAAGAAGUAUCCUGAGGCAUCAACCACUCUUUUGAGGCAGU
This is a long non-coding RNA of Anneissia japonica, 680 nucleotides long. RefSeq lists it as uncharacterized. NCBI's taxonomy places the organism in Eukaryota, Metazoa, Echinodermata, Crinoidea, Comatulida, Comatulidae. The record is from RefSeq and is a predicted model, not a curated record. The transcript has 3 exons.